Molecule: small nuclear RNA, 140 nt
Organism: Chlorocebus sabaeus (green monkey)
Lineage: Eukaryota; Metazoa; Chordata; Mammalia; Primates; Cercopithecidae
Gene: U4
Rfam family: U4 spliceosomal RNA
About the family: U4 small nuclear RNA (U4 snRNA) is a component of the major U2-dependent spliceosome. The structure of U4 snRNA from yeast and human has been reported.
Source: Ensembl
AGCUUUGUGCAGUGGCAGUAUCGCAGCCAAUGAGGUUUAUCUGAGCACAAUUAUUGCUAACUGGAAACUUUUCCCAAUACCCCACUGCAAUUACUUGCAAUAUAGUCAGCACUGGCAAUUUUUGAUAGUCUCUAUGGAGA